This 279-nucleotide long non-coding RNA is filed under the name Octopus vulgaris (common octopus). Lineage: Eukaryota; Metazoa; Mollusca; Cephalopoda; Octopoda; Octopodidae. The record is from RNAcentral.
AAGUCGUUACAUAAACGGACGGAAGUGACGUUUAUAUAACAGCAGAUGACUCAAACGUCUGGCAUAGCAGCCGAGUUGUUGUACUGUCGAUGUAUGUAAAUCUUGUCUCGACUAUUUUAAAAUUAUUAUUUUAUUACUACCGGCGAUAUUUAAACAUUUUUGUCUUUCCACAAGCUAAAAUAUUUCUAUGAUAAAGCUAUCAUUCGACGGCAGUGUUUGUCUCUCGGAUGGAUAUACCUUAUAUACUGUAGUAUGAUUUAAAACUCUAAUGCAAGGUGA